RNAcentral lists this ribosomal RNA (65 nucleotides) under Moraxella catarrhalis. RNAcentral's name for it is "partial 16S ribosomal RNA". It matches the Rfam family "Bacterial small subunit ribosomal RNA", at positions 1 to 64 of the family's 1533-position model. Lineage: Bacteria; Pseudomonadati; Pseudomonadota; Gammaproteobacteria; Moraxellales; Moraxellaceae. RNAcentral also lists the same sequence under 1 other name. The record is from RNAcentral.
CUUUUUGGAGAGUUUGAUCCUGGCUCAGGACGAACGCUGGCGGCGUGCCUAAUACAUGCAAGUCG